Long non-coding RNA from Olea europaea var. sylvestris, 2109 nucleotides. RefSeq lists it as uncharacterized. NCBI's taxonomy places the organism in Eukaryota, Viridiplantae, Streptophyta, Magnoliopsida, Lamiales, Oleaceae. The transcript has 5 exons. The record is from RefSeq and is a predicted model, not a curated record.
UUGACCCAAUCUAUUAUCAAAAAAAGAAUCCUUAUUUCCUUUUCGUUCUCGCAAGUCUCCCUCUCAACUUCUAAAACGAACCUUCCUUUCCAGUUGCCAUCGAAGUCUCAGACAUCUCCUUAGUCUUUACAGAAAGCUUCCUUCAAUUGUGGGUUUCUUCAUUUUCGAUUUUAUAUAUACAUCCCUUGGCAACAUUUUCCAUAGAUCAAUUACCUGUUCUUCCUUUCCCAGAGAUUUCUAAUGGAAGUGGUUUUCUUUAAGAAUGAUUAUUCCGAGAUAUAAGGAUUUAUUUUGUGACAAGGUAAACAACAACUUGCUUGAAGAAGAAGUACAUACACCUACCCCACUUUUGACACGGAUGAUCACUGAUGAACCUAUUGAUGGAGGAAGCAUUUGAAUUUGGCAAAGAAUGUAUCUAUUCUGGUGAUGUUCUUUGUGAUGAAUACCUUAUAGAGUUUGUAGCUUGAAAAUGUGAACACUUUUGUUUCUUUGUUAGUAAGAAAAUCUUUUCUACUCUUUUCCUUCCAAAUUUAAACCAAUUUCCCGACUUUUGAAUAGUAGAUAUAAUGGAUGAAUAGACAUGGUGGAAUGAUUUUUUUUCCUUCCAAAACAACAUGGAUAUAGAUAGUGAAAUUGAAGCAAUUGGUGAAACUCCUUCAACAUCUGUUCCUCCACUUCCACCAUCAUGUUUAGGGAAGAGAAAAAAUAGAAAACACUUCACAAUUAUAGGGAAUUCAAAAGCAGAAGAUGUUAGGUGUGCAUGCAACUAUUAUGGGUAGGAUUAUGGUUGUAGGGCUAGGAAGUAUGAGACUGGUACCUUGAAGAAUCAUUUGGUUCUUUAUUGUAAGAAGUAUCCCGGAAGAUUGGAAGAUAAACGACAAAAAAGUCCAACUAAGGGUGGUGUGAACAUUCUAGUUGGCUUUAAUAAGGAAGAGUGUAGGUUUGUAUGUACUAAGAUGAUAAUAUUGGAUGAAUUACCUUUUAGAUUUGUCGAAGGUGAGGGGUUUAGACAAUUUUGUAGGCUAGCAUGUCCUAAAUUUGAUCCUUCAUCUCGUAGAAUUGUUGUUAGAGAUAUUUAUUAGUUGUAGUUGGAUAAAAAAUUGCAAUUUAAAAAGAUCAUCCAACGUUAAAGAGUUUCUCUUACUACUGAUACUUGGAAUUCCAUUCAAAAUAUUAAUUCUAUGUGUCUCACAGCACACUUUGUUGAUUCUGAUUGGAAGCUUCAUAAAUGGAUUUUGGCCUUCCGUGUGAUUGCUAAUCAUAAAGGUAAAACCAUUGGUAAAGUCGAUGAAACUUGUUUGCAUGUAUGGGGUAUUAAGAGAUUAUUUACAAUCAUAGUUGAUAAUGCAACUAUAAAUAAAACAGCUAUUUCUUAUAUUAAGAGGAAGAUGAUUGGUCAGAGUGGUGAUGGGUGUGUUUAGAUGGAAAGUAUCUAUACAUGAGGUGUUGUGCACAUAUUAUUAAUUUGAUUGUGUGUGAGGGGUUGAAGGAAGCACAUGAUUUAAUUGUUAGUAUUCGAAAUGCAAUAAAGUUAAUGAUGUGGAUAGAUACUUGUUAGAUGCUUGUGAAGAUAUAAAGGACGAUACUUUUGAUGUUUUUAAUUGGUGGAAGGUGAAUGGAAACAAAUAUGGUGCAUUGUCAAAACUUGCAAGAGAUGUAAUGGCUAUUCAAGUGUCUAUUAUGGCCUCAGAAAUUGCUUUCAGUACCGAAGGAAGAAUUCUUAAUCCAUUUCAUAGUUCUUUAACUCCUAGGAUGGUGGAAGUUUUGGUGUGUACAGAAAAUUGGAUUAAAAAGUCUACAAAGCAUGGAGAAAUUCUAUAUGGAAGAUGUGGAGGAAUAUAAUAAGUUGGAUCAAAAACUUUUGGAAUCAGAGAAAUCAAAUGAAGGCUAAAUCAAUGUGAUUAGUUCAUUUCUAAAUUUUUGAGGAAUGAUGCUUAAAGCUUACACGAUAACUUGGAAGUCGUAACAUUUUACCUUAUUAUUUGUUUUAUGAGAAUUUUGAUUUUGGAUUAUUGUAGCAUUUGUAUUCUUAUUUAUUGAGUUUGGAUUACUGUAAUAUUUAAAUUUUCUUUUCAUGCUUGAUGGUUAUUUUGAUUGUGUUUAGUUUCA